This is a long non-coding RNA of Mustela erminea (ermine), 159 nucleotides long. RefSeq lists it as uncharacterized. The transcript has 3 exons. Lineage: Eukaryota; Metazoa; Chordata; Mammalia; Carnivora; Mustelidae. The record is from RefSeq and is a predicted model, not a curated record.
UGUGCAUGCUGCUGAGAACGUCCCCAUGCAGAGACACAGCUGCUCACGUAGGAGAGAAGAAUAAUGCAAGAAAAAUAUGACAAACGUCUCCCAGCUUGAAGAGGCACGGGGUUGACAUCAACAUUAACACUGCAGAUAAAGAUCCAGGUUUCCAGCUAA